ACGGCCCAAACUCCUACGGGAGGCAGCAGUAGGGAAUUUUCGGCAAUGGAGGAAACUCUGACCGAGCAACGCCGCGUGAACGAUGAAGUAUUUCGGUAUGUAAAGUUCUUUUAUUGAAGAAGAAAAAAUAGUGGAAAAACUAUCUUGACGUUAUUCAAUGAAUAAGCCCCGGCUAACUAUGUGCCAGCAGCCGCGGUAAGACAUAGGGGGCGAGCGUUAUCCGGAAUUAUUGGGCGUAAAGGGUGCGUAGGCGGAUAGGAAAGUCUAUAAUUUAAUUUCAGUGCUUAACGCUGUCUUGUUAUAGAAACUACCUUGACUAGAGUUAGAUAGAGGCAAGCGGAAUUCCAUGUGUAGCGGUAAAAUGUGUAAAUAUAUGGAGGAACACCAGAAGCGUAGGCGGCUUGCUGGGUCUUGACUGACGCUGAGGCACGAAAGCGUGGGUAGCAAACAGGAUUAGAUACCCUGGUAGUCCACGCCGUAAACGAUGAGUACUAAGUGUCGGGAUAAAACUCGGUACUGAAGUUAACACAUUAAGUACUCCGCCUGAGUAGUACGUACGCAAGUAUGAAACUUAAAGGAAUUGACGGGACUCCGCACAAGCGGUGGAUCAUGUUGUUUAAUUCGAAGAUACACGAAAAAUCUUACCAGGUCUUGACAUGCUCUGCAAAGCUAUAGAAAUAUAGUGGAGGUUAUCAGGGACACAGGUGGUGCAUGGUUGUCGUCAGUUCGUGUCGUGAGAUGUUAGGUUAAGUCCUAAAACGAGCGCAACCCUUGUCGUUAGUUACCAGCACGUAAUGGUGGGCACUUUAACGAGACUGCCAAUUAAACAUUGGAGGAAGGUGAGGAUUACGUCAAAUCAUCAUGCCCCUUAUGAUCUGGGCUACAAACGUGAUACAAUGGCUGUUACAAAGAGUAGCUGAAGCGCGAGUUUUUAGCCAAUCUCAAAAAAGCAGUCUCAGUUCGGAUUGAAGUCUGUAACUCGACUUCAUGAAGU
This 994-nucleotide ribosomal RNA is filed under the name Candidatus Phytoplasma fraxini. RNAcentral describes it as "bacterial SSU rRNA". It matches the Rfam family "Bacterial small subunit ribosomal RNA", at positions 326 to 1326 of the family's 1533-position model. Lineage: Bacteria; Bacillati; Mycoplasmatota; Mollicutes; Acholeplasmatales; Acholeplasmataceae. The record is from RNAcentral.